GUUAGGGGAGGUCCUAAGCCAAUCUGACUGGAGCCCUUAUAAGGAGAGGAGAUUAGGAUGCAGAGAGAGCUAGGGACAUCACGGGCAGAAUGGGGAGGAACGACCACGUGAGGACACAGGGAGGAGGCAGCUGUCUGUAGGCUAAGGAGAGCGGCCUCAGAAGAAACCAACUCUGCAAUAGUUUUAAGGUCAGGAUUUCUUGUUCCUGGAAUGUUUGGUAGAACGUGACGGUAAACCUGUCUGGUGUGGUGCUUCUAUAGGAAGGUUUUUAAAUUGUUGUUUCUGUAAUGGUAAUGUGUCUUUUUUCAUUCAUUGUUCUGGGCAUUUCUGGUAGUUUCCAUCUGGAAAUGCACAGUCAGGGCGUGGAAUGUUUGCUAGAAUUAUUUGAUCAUUUCUUCUUCACUGCCGUUGUUUUUCUUGAAACACCCAAUUGGAUAUCAAACCUCCAUGUUGAUAUUCUAAUUUGCUUUGCUCAAGGGCAUUUCGUUUAUCUUUUUGGAUGACUUCCUCAGCUUGCUUCCAGUUCUACAGAAUUUACUCUUUGCCUUUAUGUUUUUGUGGUGUCCCUGAGGUCAAGUUUAAACUCAGGAAUAACCUUUCACUCUGGUCUUCUUUCAGGGUGCCAGUGGGGUGGGGACCUGGCUUCACAGAGUGAGGCAGAUCUGUGGGCUCAAAUGCGCCUUUGCAGGACUCACAGCUGUUCUGUGUUUUCAGUCUCUCCUGGUGCAGAGGGUCACGUGCCUCACUUCCCAGCCCAUGAGAGUUGAGUGGGAAUCAGCCUGCUGCCUUUCCCCACCCUAGAACUUGGGCUUCAGCUUUCUCUGUUCUGCCACGUUAAUUGUCACUUCUCUAUCCACUUGCUGUUUUCCAAAACGGUUGAUCUCUCCUAUGCUGGUGUCUCUAAUUCUGUCUUCGUGGUCUCUUUUUAUUCCCUUACUGGCCAGUGGAGGUGCAGGAGUUGAUCUUGUUACUUCUACAGUAAUACAAGUGAGGUUUCAGCAUGUUGAUCACGGGGCCAGGUGGAUUUGUUAAUUUGUCUUCCCACACUCAGAGCUGACCAGAUCAGGAGGUAUGACCAGCAUUUGCUUCCUGGAGAACCCAACCUGCCACAACAGGAAACAUUUAGAUCCUACAAAGUCAGCUGGGAAGGGAAGGAAUUCAGAAAAAAGAAUGAAACACUGAAAACUGUAUAUCAAAUAAGAAGAAUGAUGUGGAUUGUCGACUGGGAGACUAUAAAACCCAUCACUGAGCUCUUCAGGUCACAGGCUAGAAACUGAUUGCUGCGCUCACCGGUGACCGCCCAGCUCGAGACAAUAGACUUGCCUCCUGCUACGCCCAUGAAGAUAGCAGACCCACUACCUGCUGUGUCCAUCAAGCGCUGUGCAGACAGGGCAAUCUUGUGACUAUUGUGGGAGGGACAUUUCAAUCAUAGUGAAACACCCUCUUUGAGGGUAUAUAACCCACCUAUGUACCCCCACUUCUUUGGAGUGCUCUGUUCCUUUGUGGAAAGACUCUCCCGGGUUAUAAUCCUAAGAUUUAAGCUCAGAAUAAACUCACCCAAAUUUUCAUUUACAGAUUGGUUAUGGAUUAUUUUCGUCGACAGAUCUUCCAAUAUGAGUAAGCAAAUGCCCACAUAUGGUUUAUCUCAGUCUCCAAAGCAUCUUUAUGCUCUAAAGGGCAUUUUUUUCACUUUCUGAAAGGAAUCACUGUCAAGGAACAAUGCAUAUUUUACAGUUGAAGAUACAUAGCUGAUUCUUCUGGUUUCCCAUUCUGAUUUUUUAAUAAUCUGGUUAUCAAGUAAGGCUUAGAAUCUUGGUUAUUCAAAGACUUUCAAGAAACUUAGCACAUUAUUCCCUGUCGUGCAGAAUAAAGCAAUUCAGAUGUUUCAACCCACAGGAUGUUCAAAACCACCAGAAACAUUGUACGAUUAAAAAUGUUCACAGAGGGGCUGGCCCCAUGGCCGAGUGGUUGAGUUUGCAUGCUCUGC
This 1987-nucleotide long non-coding RNA is filed under the name Equus caballus (horse). Its description in RNAcentral is "lncRNA (ENSECAG00000049974.1)". Lineage: Eukaryota; Metazoa; Chordata; Mammalia; Perissodactyla; Equidae. The record is from RNAcentral.